UUAUAAAUUCAAGAUGGCCGCCGCUACAAGAUGGCGGAUAAUUUAUGUUUUAUUAAUCCCAUCAAUAUGGGUAUCAAAUGAAAGGGCUCAACAAGCAGAAUACAAUAUACUAUAAAAAAUUGAAAUCCAAGAUGGCGGCCGCUACAAAAUGGCGGAUAACUUAGGUUUUAUCAAUCCCAUCAAUAUGGGUAUCAAAUGAAAGGGCUCAACAAGCAGAAUACAAUAUACUAUAAAAAACUGAAAUACAAGAUGCUGGCCGCCGCUACCAAAUGUCUGAUAACAAUUUUUUAUCAAUCCCACCAAUAUGGGUAUCAAAUAAAAG
Molecule: unclassified non-coding RNA, 322 nt
Filed under: Melitaea cinxia (Glanville fritillary)
Lineage: Eukaryota; Metazoa; Arthropoda; Insecta; Lepidoptera; Nymphalidae
Description: misc RNA ENSMCXG00005012669.1
Source: RNAcentral